This 991-nucleotide long non-coding RNA is filed under the name Homo sapiens (human). RNAcentral describes it as "long intergenic non-protein coding RNA 1980". Lineage: Eukaryota; Metazoa; Chordata; Mammalia; Primates; Hominidae. The record is from RNAcentral.
ACACUUGGGUUCAUCUUCAUGAGGUGUAAUGGCGCCGGGAUGCGCUCUCCUCUUCUCAUUUGCCAAUUUAUUGCAGAUCCCUCCUCAAAAAAGUUUUGGGACUAACUCAGCCCCAUGGAGAUCAAGGUGAAUUAGAAAAACAACAAAACAAAACAAGAUUCAUUUUAACAUCUCAUUUUUCUAUCUCCAACUUUCCCUCCCCUCCUCCCACCCCAGGAAGAAAAGACUACGUUUGUUUCUGGUGAUACAUUCAUUGUAGGUGGGUGGGUGACUUCUAGAAGAGGAAAAUCAAGAAGAUUUGGAGAAGGAGUCUUGGAAGCUCUGGUGAAGUUUUCCAAAACUGGGAAGGACAGAGUCUGCUCAGCCUGUGUUAGUGGAGAAGAGGGAAGGAAACUGGCUGGAGGCCGCUGGACCCACAGAGGACAAUAGACAAUCUCCUGCUGAUGCCCACUGGAUCCAAAGAGAGAAACUCUAUAGAAUUAUGAUCUAGGUUUGACUGACUCCUGGCAAGAAGCCCUACCCGCCAGCCAAUUUGGAUGAGGAACACAGAAUCACUUGUGGAAUUAAGAGAUAAGGACAGCAAGUAGACCAAACUAUAAGCUGAGGUUCAAGGUGGCAUAGGCUGGGUGCCACAGUGCUGUGUCUCAGGUGGGCUAGAAGUGCGAAACGGACAGUACCAGAAGGAAAACUUGAGGGUCACAGGGGUCAUCCAUCUUUCCUUCUAUGUGACUGGUUUGCUCUUGCAUAUCAUGUUUUCCGCUCUUAUGCUCCAGAUCCAUCAUGAGAAGAACAUGCCCUGGAUUCCUGCUAUCCCUUUAGCCAUGGCUCCAAAAUUAACACACACAAGGAAGACCUGAGGUCAAUCCACAGCCUGGAUUCAAGUCACCUAAUACAUAGGAGAAUCAGAGCUACCCAGCCACACUCAAUCUACGUUAACUGAACCUCAGCUGACCUGCAGAUUUAUGAGUAUGAGAAUAAAGGCUUGUUAAUG